RNAcentral lists this transfer RNA (71 nucleotides) under Loxodonta africana (African savanna elephant). It matches the Rfam family "tRNA". From Rfam's summary of the family: Transfer RNA (tRNA) molecules are approximately 80 nucleotides in length. Their secondary structure includes four short double-helical elements and three loops (D, anti-codon, and T loops). The record is from Rfam by way of RNAcentral. Lineage: Eukaryota; Metazoa; Chordata; Mammalia; Proboscidea; Elephantidae.
ACAUUGAUGGUCCAGUGGUAAAAUUCUUGCCUUCCACGCUGGAGACCCAGGUUCGAUUCCUGGCCAAGGCA